This 465-nucleotide ribosomal RNA is filed under the name uncultured Klebsiella sp. RNAcentral describes it as "bacterial SSU rRNA". It matches the Rfam family "Bacterial small subunit ribosomal RNA", at positions 338 to 795 of the family's 1533-position model. Lineage: Bacteria; Pseudomonadati; Pseudomonadota; Gammaproteobacteria; Enterobacterales; Enterobacteriaceae. The record is from RNAcentral.
CCUACGGGGCGCUGCAGUGGGGAAUAUUGCACAAUGGGCGCAAGCCUGAUGCAGCCAUGCCGCGUGUGUGAAGAAGGCCUUCGGGUUGUAAAGCACUUUCAGCGGGGAGGAAGGCGUUAAGGUUAAUAACCUUGGCGAUUGACGUUACCCGCAGAAGAAGCACCGGCUAACUCCGUGCCAGCAGCCGCGGUAAUACGGAGGGUGCAAGCGUUAAUCGGAAUUACUGGGCGUAAAGCGCACGCAGGCGGUCUGUCAAGUCGGAUGUGAAAUCCCCGGGCGCAACCUGGGAACUGCAUUCGAAACUGGCAGGGUAGAGUCUUGUAGAGGGGGGUAGAAUUCCAGGUGUAGCGGUGAAAUGCGUAGAGAUCUGGAGGAGUACCGGUGGCGAAGGCGGCCCCCUGGACAAAGACUGACGCUCAGGUGCGAAGGCGUGGGGAGCAAGCAGGAUUAGAUACCCUUGAAGUC